Molecule: ribosomal RNA, 301 nt
Filed under: uncultured bacterium
Lineage: Bacteria
Description: partial 16S ribosomal RNA
Rfam family: Bacterial small subunit ribosomal RNA
Source: RNAcentral
CAGUCGCCGCGGUAAUACGAAGGGGGCUAGCGUUGCUCGGAAUGACUGGGCGUAAAGGGCGCGUAGGCGGUUUGUACAGUUGGAUGUGAAAUUCCUGGGCUUAACCUGGGGGCUGCAUUCAAUACGUGCAGGCUUGAGUGUGGAAGAGGGUUGUGGAAUUCCCAGUGUAGAGGUGAAAUUCGUAGAUAUUGGGAAGAACACCGGUGGCGAAGGCGGCAACCUGGUCCAUUACUGACGCUGAGGCGCGAAAGCGUGGGGAGCAAACAGGAUUAGAUACCCCUGUAGUCCCUGUCUCUUAUAC